RNAcentral lists this long non-coding RNA (1327 nucleotides) under Homo sapiens (human). RNAcentral's name for it is "HSALNT0215653". The record is from RNAcentral. Lineage: Eukaryota; Metazoa; Chordata; Mammalia; Primates; Hominidae.
GGGGCCGGGAGGAGCGCAGAGCCUCGCGCCCGGAUGCCCGGCCAGCUAGCAGCGCGGGCAGCGGCUUUAUGUUGAUGGCAAAUUGUCACUUUGGCGGAAUUCAGGAACGCUACUUAUGUCAUUAGGCGGCAAUCUAUAAUUAACGCACUCAAGGCUGUGUGAAGGGUAGGAUUCUUCCAGGGACAGCUAGAGCGAUUCCACCUGCAUCUUCUGGGAGCGGGGAAUGUUAGUGGACCCCCCGGUGUGUAGAAGUUCAGCAAGAUUAAAAGCCAAUACAAGCAGUGCUUGGAAAUAAAGCAGAACCAUGCACCCAGCAACACCUUUGAUCUCGACCAUAUGGAGCCCCACCAAGCUCUGGAAAAAAAAUCUCCCUUGCCUCCACAGCCGGCCGAGAGAAGCGGGGGCCCCCAGAUGGCCAGAUACCAUGGGCGCCCGCACCCCAUGGCUUGUCUUGUCUUCUGAUUGGUCCCCAGUGCAAAGGCAGGGGACUCGCUUCUCACGCUGGAGGCAAAUCCGUGUCCCCAACGUUGGUGAGGUUGACAGUUUUCACAACUCGGUUUUGGGGGGGAAAUAUUUGAGUAAACAGCCCUGACCCUGUUGGGUUUGUUUUAGAGUGGAAUCUCACCAUCAGGACAGAGCAAAAAUGUCAUGGGCCCCUAGACCAGUGUGGAAAGCUCACUAAACCAUUUUUCCAGCUGAGGCUUUUUCCUCUCUUUCUUUUGUUAAAUCCUUGGGUCUCUAACUUUGCUGAUCAUCGUCUUGAGAAUUGACCACAUGGGAAGACUGAUUUACACACUGGGUCAGCCUGAGAAGGAAAAAGCCCAUGACCAAUGACAUCGGGGGGCCCAGAGGGAAGCCGGCUGAGGCAGAGGGAGCAAGUGGGCCGUGGCCAAGGGCCAAGGACCUGCAUCCUCAUCUUCCUCUCACCAGCAUGGGGAUUGGCAGGUUUAAGAGGCAGUUAGGAGAGGCAGGUGUGAGUAAUGGGAACAGCACUGGCUUUCACCAAGCAACCAGGUUCACGACAGCCGUCAUGUGACCUCGGGCACGUGACUCCACCUCUCUGUGAGGCAGUUUGCUCAUGGAUUCUUCUGCAAUUCUGAAACAUGAAAGUGCCAAAAGUCAACGCUUUGAUAAUUUCAUAGCAGACUCAUGUGGUGGCAAAGCCUGACCUGAGCUGACGUGAGACUAUUUGUAAUCUUUAUUUAUGCUGCUUAAUGCAGGUACUCAUUCAUUCUGCUGUGGAAAUAGUCCUGUCUGGGACAGUCGAAGGCUGCCCUAGACUCCAUUGGGAUAUUAUAUGUUUACUUUUGUAAAAUCCAAAAUAUCC